AGAGUUUGAUCCUGGCUCAGAACGAACGCUGGCGGCAGGCCUAACACAUGCAAGUCGAACGAGCUGAGACCUUCGGGUCUCGAUGCUAGUGGCGCACGGGUGAGUAACGCGUGGGAACCUACCCUAUAGUACGGAAUAACUGAGGGAAACUUCAGCUAAUACCGUAUACGCCCCUCGGGGGAAAGAUUUAUCGCUAUAGGAUGGGCCCGCGUCUGAUUAGGUAGUUGGUGAGGUAACGGCUCACCAAGCCGACGAUCAGUAGCUGGUCUGAGAGGAUGAUCAGCCACACUGGGACUGAGACACGGCCCAGACUCCUACGGGAGGCAGCAGUGGGGAAUAUUGGACAAUGGGCGAAAGCCUGAUCCAGCCAUGCCGCGUGAGUGAAGAAGGCCUUCGGGUUGUAAAGCUCUUUCGACGGGGACGAUGAUGACGGUACCCGUAUAAGAAGCCCCGGCUAACUUCGUGCCAGCAGCCGCGGUAAUACGAAGGGGGCUAGCGUUGUUCGGAAUUACUGGGCGUAAAGCGAACGUAGGCGGUGUUCCAUGUCAGAGGUGAAAGCCUGGGGCUCAACUCCAGAAUUGCCUUUGAAACGGGGACGCUUGAGUCCGAGAGAGGAUGGCGGAAUUCCUAGUGUAGAGGUGAAAUUCGUAGAUAUUAGGAAGAACACCGGGCGAAGGCGGCCAUCUGGCUCGGUACUGACGCUCAGGUUCGAAAGCGUGGGGAGCAAACAGGAUUAGAUACCCUAGUAGUCC
RNAcentral lists this ribosomal RNA (752 nucleotides) under uncultured bacterium. Its description in RNAcentral is "bacterial SSU rRNA". It matches the Rfam family "Bacterial small subunit ribosomal RNA", at positions 8 to 796 of the family's 1533-position model. The record is from RNAcentral.